GUGUGGUUUCAUCGUGGUUGCGAUCUCAUUGCGUGUGAUAACCUUCUCCUCACAUUUCGCCGUUUUUCGCGACACGUUGAACCCAGAAACGGACAUCGAGCGCGACGUCGAGUCGAAAAAUAUCCAUCGCCACAGCGUCCAUCGAUCCGCGUGGUCGUCGAUCGUACGCGCGUUUCCCUAAACGCGAUAAAGACUACCACCGUAUUUUCUGUAAAGAGGCAGGAGUCAAUAACCAAAAAGGAAGGAAGGAGCUAGUUUAGAUCGCGUAGAUCGUGAAAAUAGUCGGCACGAGCUGGUGCGAAGAAUUACAAGUUCGCUACAAAACAAGCUAUGGCGGAGAAUGCGCACAAACCCGAGAAGGCAGUACCCUGUUGUUCGGCAAUGGAACAUCCUGAAUUAAUCUCAUUGUCAGAAGA
This is a long non-coding RNA of Temnothorax curvispinosus, 416 nucleotides long. RefSeq lists it as uncharacterized. Lineage: Eukaryota; Metazoa; Arthropoda; Insecta; Hymenoptera; Formicidae. The record is from RefSeq and is a predicted model, not a curated record. The transcript is spliced from 3 exons.